UGUUUACCUUUACUCAAACAUUAGAUACAUAUUUUUAUUUUGGCUUAUAAUGGUUGACAUAAAAAACAAUAAAAUUCGCAAAAUCAAAUCUUUUAAUUUUUCGAAAGAGCUGGAUUUGGCAAGCUGUACUUUAUGGGCGAGGGAAGUGCUGUCAAAGUAAUCUUGGACGAUUUUUUUUAUUAUUAAAUAGGGGGUCAUUCACUUCACCACUUUUCACUCUUUGCAGUUCACAUUGGCUAUGAAAACACAGACGGCCGCGACCAACCACUAGUGUCUACACCAUUCGCUCUAUUUUUAAAGUCACAAACAUUCACAGAGCGGGCUUUAAGCUACGAGCAUCCUGCAAGUAUUGAUUUAUACUUCACUUGAACAGGAUCAUAUUUCUGCUGUCUGUCGUACUGUUAAGUGUCCUUUCUACCUCCAGUGCAGUGUUUGUUUCAUUGAUUCUACGAUGCCAGUCAAACAUCCACAAGAAUUUCAAAACAGGCAAAGUGUGAGCCGAUGUCUUUUUCAAGAUAACGAAAACGAAGAGCCACUUGAUCCAAAUCUCCAAUUAAGAAAUGGUCAAACAGCACAAGAGCAAUGGAAUUUUGAUUUUGUUAAUGAAAUUCCACUCGAAGGAGAGUGGGAAUGGGAACGUGUUACCAAAUCCGACUGAAAUAUUUAUCAGUUUGCAUUAAUAUACCUAUAAUAAUUAAUUACGUGGUGCAAUGUUAAUUUUAUUCACAAUUCGUCUACUGGAGGCUAUUGUUAAGUUUUAUUAGCAACUUUCUUAGAAUUCUUGUGUUUGUUUCUAGUCUUUGUUUUAAUAAACUGUAAAUUCUGUGUUAAUACAACCAAGUCGAUGGCAGCUACCAAAGUAUGUACGUAGGUUUAACUUAUAAAAUAAUGUAUUUACAGGGUAUUGAAAUAAUGUGAUAUCUGAUUUUUGCUUUCUAUUAAAAAAGGCAAGUAUUAACGUUGUAGCUACUAUUGUGUAUAAAAAUUAUGUAACAUUGUUGAAAAGUAGUACUUAAUGUAAAAGUACUUGUGCUUCUAGAGAUCGUCUAUUUUAUUAAUGGUAUUCUAUUUAGAUAUCAUUAUCUUUGCCAAAAUAGUAACUACAACAAUGAUUAAAGCUGUUCUUCCAGUUUCCGACAUUUCACUUUUUACAGAAAACAUAUUUUAUACAGUGUUUUAAAACUAAGGUAAAUUUUCCAAAUGUAACCACCACCGUGCCAUAAUACAUUUUUAUAUUCUA
Molecule: long non-coding RNA, 1240 nt
Organism: Zophobas morio
Lineage: Eukaryota; Metazoa; Arthropoda; Insecta; Coleoptera; Tenebrionidae
Exons: 2
Source: RefSeq, a predicted model, not a curated record